Xiphophorus couchianus (Monterrey platyfish) is the source of this 718-nucleotide long non-coding RNA. RefSeq lists it as uncharacterized. The transcript has 3 exons. Lineage: Eukaryota; Metazoa; Chordata; Actinopteri; Cyprinodontiformes; Poeciliidae. The record is from RefSeq and is a predicted model, not a curated record.
GAAAAGGAAAGGAUUUGAAUCUGAUGAAGAAAAAAGAGAGGAAAAUAAAAGAAAUGUAAUUAAAGUGAUUCUUAGAUUCCAGAACCCAUGUGCUUUGAAUAAUUUAAAAAUAAGUGAGGCAAUAUAUAAAAUAGUAGGUGAGGUGAAAGCAGUCAAAACGUUAAGAGACGGUAAUCUACUGGUGUUACGCAGAGACAGAGAUCAGGUGCAGGGACUGAUGAGAUGCGAGACAUUAUUGUGAAAAACAAUCAAGCCACAAAUAUGGCAGGACAAAGGAAAAGUAAUGGGAGUAAUAUCUGGAGUAUCAACUGAUCUGACGGAGCAAGAGAUUAAAGGUAAUGUAAAAGGAGCUCGGGUGAUUAAAGUGAAACACUUGUUUGUUACAAGUGAAGGAGCUAAAAGUCCUAGUAAGUCAGUUAUGUUAGUCCUAGAAGAGGAUAGAUUACCUGAAAAAGUGAUGAUUGGGUAUGUCAGUUAUACAGUAAGGCAAUACAUUCCUCCACCAACCAGAUGCUACAAAUGUCAAAGGUUUGGACAUAUUGCUGCUGCUUGCAGAGCUAAGACGAGGUGUGCUAAGUGUGGAGAGGAGCAUGAGUAUGGAAAAUGUUCUGAAGGAACUAAGUUAACGUGUUGUAAUUGUGGUGGGAACAUAGUGCUGCAUUUAAAGGAUGUGAAGCUCAUAAAAGAGCAGUGCAGUGGUUGAGGUAAAAUGUUUAUU